RNAcentral lists this ribosomal RNA (1235 nucleotides) under Dinophysis ovum. RNAcentral's name for it is "eukaryotic LSU rRNA". The stretch from base 519 to 1235 matches the Rfam family "Eukaryotic large subunit ribosomal RNA", at positions 1 to 624 of the family's 3401-position model. The record is from RNAcentral. Lineage: Eukaryota; Dinophyceae; Dinophysales; Dinophysaceae.
GUGAGCUUCUGGGUGAGGUUGACAAAGUGUUGCCUUCAUGUGGAAGCUCGAGGGUAGAUGAACUGAAGCAGUGUGGUCUUGCUGUUUCGUGGGCGCUACCGUCUGCUUGGCUCACACUGCCUUGCGGUUGAACCUUUAUUUGUUUGUAUGUGCAUGCUGUAUGUAUCACAAUUUUCAGCGAUGGAUGCCUCGGCUCGAACAACGAUGAAGGGCGCAGCGAAGUGUGAUAAUCUUUGUGAAUUGCAGAAUUCCGUGAAUCAAUAGAGCUUUGAACGUGUCUUGCGCUUUCGGGCUAUACCUGAAAGCAUGCCUGCGUUGGUGUCUGUAUGGCCUCAUUCAGUCAGCAACACUAAACCUCAUUGGUAGUGUGAUGUCUGUGUGUCGGUGUGUGCAAGGUUCACCCUUGUUACACAGAAUGCAUGUUUAUUAUCGUUGCCAACAGCUUGCUGUGCCUCUGUAUAGUGGUUAACCUUCUGUUGGCACGAAAUCCAAGCACAUGCCCCAAUGUGUGAUUAAUUAGACAUGACGUUAGGCUAGAUCACCUGCUGAAUUUAAGCAUAUAAGUAAGCGGAGGACAAGAAACUAAACAGGAUCCCCAUAGUAAUGGCGAAUGAACCGGGAUAAACUCAGCAUGGAAAUUGGGGCCUUUGGCUUUGACUUGUAAUCUGGUGAGGCAUUGCCAACAGAGGCGCAUAUGUAAGUCUCUUGGAAAAGAGCAUCAACGAAGGUGAGAGUCCUGAUUGUCAUGUGCAGCCCCCCUGUGCACGGUGUGCCUUCUAAGAGUCACGUUCCUUGGGAUUGGAGCGCAAAUUGGGUGGUAACUUUCAUCUGAAGUUAAACAAUGGUUUGGGACCGAUAGGAAACAAGUACCAUGAGGGAAAGGUGAAAAGGACUUUGGAAAGAGAGUUAAAAGUGCCUGAAAUUGCUGAAGGGGAAGCGAAUGGAACCAGUGGUGCUGGGUGAGAUUGUCACAUGCUGCAAGGAUUGGUUGCUGCCMCAACGCAAGUGUGCUGGCAAUUUGUGAACUGUUAGUGUGUGGUGUGUCUUACCUAGUGGGUCAUUGUGGGUUUAUGCAUUAAGAUAAAUCAAAGCAAGCGGGAGCAAGUUUACGAGUUUGUGAAUGUGUGUUGUUAUGUUUGUGCGUAAGCUUUAGUGUUUGUCUGGCUGCAGGGCUGUCCAUCCUCAAGCUUUGCUGUGGUUGCGAUGAGCAUAACCUUCUGCACAGAUCUUGACGA